Molecule: ribosomal RNA, 204 nt
Filed under: Paenibacillus woosongensis
Lineage: Bacteria; Bacillati; Bacillota; Bacilli; Caryophanales; Paenibacillaceae
Description: partial 16S ribosomal RNA
Rfam family: Bacterial small subunit ribosomal RNA
Source: RNAcentral
CCUUUAAUGGAGAGUUUGAUCCUGGCUCAGGACGAACGCUGGCGGCGUGCCUAAUACAUGCAAGUCGAGCGGAGUUAUUUUGGAAGCUUGCUUCCGAAAUAACUUAGCGGCGGACGGGUGAGUAAUACGUAGGCAACCUGCCUGUAAGACUGGGAUAACUGCCGGAAACGGUAGCUAAUACCGGAUAAAUCAUUUCGCCGCAUG